AACUACAGGCUUGUUUGUGUGCGGAACGGUGUCGCCACUACCCAUCUGCGCAAAAAUACAAGGGAUUCUGUGUGUGGGCAUGCUUGUCGAAACUCCCCCAUGCUACUAGCAAAAAACCCUUACGGGCUUCCCAACCUCACGGGUUUUGCCACCUGCGGGCAUGUAGAUCAUUUGUCAUGACUGCUCCACUGAUUUGACAUCACUAAGCCUGAAAUUGAUAGCUGCAAGCCAAGACCCCUCUCUUCUCUGCCAUAUGUUGUUUGACCAAUUCCCCUCUCCAACCUUAUUGGCCACCCAAGCCUCCAACAGCUUAGAUCACUUGUAUGUGAUCCAACGGCCAAGGAUGCACUAGAUGGGUAGUUUAAAUACUUCAUUUCCCUCUAUUUUAUCCUCCAUUUCUUCAUUUGGUCAAGAGAGCAGAAAACCAGUGAGUGAGAGAGAGAGUCGAGUCCGAGAGUGAGAGCUUGGUGUUAUGGUGUGAGCUGAGAGCAGGAAAAAUAGUGUGCGCUUCUAUCUGGUACGAAAUGACUUCUUCCCUUCUAAGGUAAGUCUUUUUUCCUUUAUUUUGAGAUGAUUAACUCUUCCUUUCAGCUACUCACUCAUUUCCCCUUCACCCAAUACAAAAUCCUUCUUCCAACUUCAACUGAAGCUCCUUCUACAACUAAAAUUGAGCCAGGACAUACUAUUUGAGGUAAACACCUUUUUACUCUUCGAUUCUUGUUCUUUUCCAUUCUUCUCUUGAUUUAUAAAUUUAGAAUAGUUUUUGUAGGCCUUAAGUUGAGUUUAAAUCAAAUUCAUGCAGUUAAAAAUAACCCGAAAUCCACAAAUUCAACUUAAAAACACGACUGACACAACAACAGCUACACAAUGUUGUCAUAUUUCUAAUGCCCUUAUGUUCAUACAUUUUGAUAUAUUAGAGUGUCUACAAUGAGGUAAGAUUAGUGGUAAUUAGUUUUUACAAGCAUUCGGUUUUAUAGAUGCAUUUAGAUGAGUUAAAUCUUUGAAAAAUGUGUGAAUGUUUACUAUUUUAGUUGAUGUAGAGUGUCUUGUGUUGGUUGCAUGAUUUUGAUGAUUUAAUCAUGUUUUUGUUUAUGUUUUUUUAUGAGUUUUGAUGCCCGGAUAAUUUAUGAUGAAUUGGAAUGAAUUUCAGAUAAUAAAUGAAAGAAAAAAAUGGAAAAGGAAUAGCAAACAGAGGCUAGAUUCCUCUAUCUGUGAUGUCCAAGCACUAAUGUGCCAGCAAAGGGGGCAGGCAUGGGUGAUCGUGCAUGAUGGUGCAUGCGAGACACUGUACAAAUGCCCCUGCUGCACCAAGAGGGCCCGCAUGAGGCACUGUGUGUGUGGAGUGAUAUGGUGCAUGUGCACAAGGAUGUAGACCUAGGCACCCACAACAUUGAGGCGUGUGCCCCACUGCCAUACUGCAGCACACACCAAGUCGUGCGGGGCAUGGAGCGCUAUUAAGCGUGCACAUGCUGAAAGCACCAUCGGCCAAGGCACCUUGUGCCGCGGGUACAGGCUUACAAGAAUUUAUCCCCCUAUCACGGAUUCGAGGACAAAUUGCUCAAAAUGUCAAAAAGAACGAAUUUUUGUAAUUUAAAAUUAAGUUUUGAAUUUUGAAAAUGGUAAAAUAAGAGAUUCAAAAUUAAAAAAGGAAAUUUACAAUUAAAAUAUGAAUUUUGAAUACAGCAAGAAAUAAGGAAUUAGAAAAUUGUUCUAAGGGAAAUUUUGAAAUUUAGUUUUGAUAUUUAAAAAUGGAAAAAUAAGAUAUUUGAAAUUAAAAAGGAAAAUUGGUAAUUUAAAUAUGAAUAAGGCAAGAACUAAGGAAUUUGAAUUUGUUCUAAGGAAAAUUUUGAAACCAAUCUUGAGAAUGUGGAAAUUAAUUUGGCAAAUUUUGAAUUAAGGCAAGUUAAUAAGAACUUGAAAAAUGGGAAGUUGACUAAGAUUCGAAUUUGUAAAAGUGGUUGAUUUGGGAAAAUGGGAAUACAUGGGUCUAACCUAGGUCUAGAUUAGAUAAACAAAAAUAGUAAUAACAUAAAAAGUCUAAUGUCUAAUGAGAUGUAAUAAACAAAAUUGUCCAGUUAAAUCUGUUUACUCUAUUAUCUAUGAGGUUUAUAUGUCUGUAAGUAUGUAUGCUUCUAGACACGUGAAUGGGUUUUGUUCUAUAUCUCUUCGUGGAUGAAGGUUCAGUUUUGCUAGACAUUUUGGUUCAUAGCCUUGUGUACAGGGGAUGAACGAGGCGACCAAAGAGAUUGAGUGAUCUAUCUGUAUAUCUAUUUUGUUAUCUAUGCCCCCAUUCACGGUGUUAUUCGGUGUAUUUUAUCCUAUUAAUUAUAGGCUUAGGCAAGCUGCAUGUGUAGGUACAUAAACAGUGUAACAAAUAAGAUUAGUAAUGUAGAAUUAAAACUAUGUCAGAAGACAAGUUAGAGUCUAAGUCUGGGUACAUGUGUCAGUGAUAUGAUUUAUUCUCGGUAUGGGAUUUGAUCCGAUCUGAUCCAUCAUCUGCUUCUGAUACCUUUGAGACUCUGGUACGUUUGGUAUGAUGAUUUUUUGUUUUAGUUAUUUAAUAAAAUGAAAUGUGGAAAAAUGAAAUGGAUUAGACUUAGUGGUAUAAUUUAUCUCACUUUUUUACUAUUGGCUAAUAUGUAUAUGUUUAAAAAUGGUGAUUGUAUUACUUAAUUAUUGCUUGUCUUACUAAGUUUACUAGAACUCACCCUAAUCCAAUUUUCUUCCCAGAUAAUGAUCUUACAAAUGUCCCUGAUGAUACCUGUCUGGAUCCGUUCCAGGAUGCUUAAUGGAAGCAUUGAAGAACUUUUUUUUGUAUUUUGUUUUUGAUAGGCCAGAUUUUUUUUGUAAACCCACAACAUUUGUAUGUAUGAUUGAUAAUCUAGUGACUUAAUAUGCUACUAAUAUAAUCACUAUAAGGG
RNAcentral lists this long non-coding RNA (2921 nucleotides) under Carica papaya (papaya). Its description in RNAcentral is "long non-coding RNA (CPAP_LNC007073)". Lineage: Eukaryota; Viridiplantae; Streptophyta; Magnoliopsida; Brassicales; Caricaceae. The record is from RNAcentral.